Molecule: ribosomal RNA, 532 nt
Filed under: uncultured fungus
Lineage: Eukaryota; Fungi
Description: SSU rRNA
Rfam family: Eukaryotic small subunit ribosomal RNA
Source: RNAcentral
AGCAGCCGCGGUAAUUCCAGCUCCAAUAGCGUAUAUUAAAGUUGCUGCAGUUAAAAAGCUCGUAGUUGAAUUUCGGGAUCAACUUGCUGGUCGUGCUGUGGUACGUACUGGUUUUGUUGAUUCCUCCUUUCCGAGGAACCGCGAUGUCAUUAAUUUGGUGUCGUGGGGAAUCAGGACUGUUACUUUGAAAAAAUUAGAGUGUUUAAAGCAGGCUAACGCUUGAAUACAUUAGCAUGGAAUAAUGAAAUAGGACGUUUUGAUCCUAUUUUGUUGGUUUCUAGGAUCGACGUAAUGAUUAAUAGGGAUAGUUGGGGGCGUUAGUACUCAAUUGUCAGAGGUGAAAUUCUUGGAUUUAUUGAAGACUAACUACUGCGAAAGCAUUUGCCAAGGAUGUUUUCAUUAAUCAAGAACGAAAGUUAGGGGAUCGAAGACGAUCAGAUACCGUCGUAGUCUUAACCAUAAACUAUGCCGACUAGGGAUCGGAUGAUAAAUUUUUAAUAAAUCAUUCGGCGCCUUACGGGAAACCAAGGUU